CCUGGCGGUAAUAGCGGAGGGGCCACACCUGAUACCAUUCCGAACUCAGAAGUUAAGCCCUCCAGCGCCGAUGAUACUGCUAUUGGCGGGAAAGUAGGUCGCUGCCAGGU
Molecule: ribosomal RNA, 110 nt
Filed under: bacterium J17
Lineage: Bacteria
Source: RNAcentral